ACGGUUUUGUAUGAUUGGUUGAUAAUUAGAUUUUACAAACGUUAGAGAAACUAAUUGCUGAUGGAUCAUCUCAGAGUAUUGCACGUAUGGUUGUAGAAGAUAUAAAAUCGACCAAGUCAAGACGAGAAGAGCGUGACUAUUUCAAAAUAUGAUUGGAAUAGCAAUUCGUUGGCAUAGCUUUAUUAUAAAAGAUUGGUGAACUUCCUUUGAGUUUGCUACCCCAGC
RNAcentral lists this long non-coding RNA (225 nucleotides) under Solanum tuberosum (potato). Its description in RNAcentral is "long non-coding RNA (STUB_LNC009667)". Lineage: Eukaryota; Viridiplantae; Streptophyta; Magnoliopsida; Solanales; Solanaceae. The record is from RNAcentral.